AACAGGAUUAGAUACCCUGGUAGUCCAUGCUGUAAACGAUGAUUACUAGGUGUGGGAAGAUUGACCCUUUCCGUGCCGCAGUUAACACAAUAAGUAAUCCACCUGGGGAGUACGACCGCAAGGUUGAAACUCAAAGGAAUUGACGGGGGCCCGCACAAGCAGUGGAGUAUGUGGUUUAAUUCGAAGCAACGCGAAGAACCUUACCAGGUCUUGACAUCCAACGACCGCCUAAGAGAUUAGGCUUUCCUUCGGGACGUUGAGACAGGUGGUGCAUGGUUGUCGUCAGCUCGUGUCGUGAGAUGUUGGGUUAAGUCCCGCAACGAGCGCAACCCUUAUUACUAGUUACUACGCAAGAGGACUCUAGUGAGACUGCCGUUGACAAAACGGAGGAAGGUGGGGAUGACGUCAAAUCAUCAUGCCCUUUAUGACCUGGGCUACACACGUACUACAAUGGCUAUUAACAGAGAGAAGCAAGACCGCAAGGUGGAGCAAACCUCAGAAAAAUAGUCUCAGUUCGGAUUGGGGGCUGCAACCCGCCCCCAUGAAGCCGGAAUUGCUAGUAAUCGCGGAUCAGCAUGCCGCGGUGAAUACGUUCCCGGGCCUUGUACACACCGCCCGUCACACCAUGAGAGCCGGGGGGACCCGAAGUCGGUAGUCUAACCGCAAGGAGGACGCCGCCGAAGGUAAAACUGGUGAUUGGGGUGAAGUCGUAACAAGGUAACC
This 723-nucleotide ribosomal RNA is filed under the name uncultured bacterium. RNAcentral describes it as "bacterial SSU rRNA". It matches the Rfam family "Bacterial small subunit ribosomal RNA", at positions 771 to 1501 of the family's 1533-position model. The record is from RNAcentral.